Long non-coding RNA from Zophobas morio, 885 nucleotides. RefSeq lists it as uncharacterized. The record is from RefSeq and is a predicted model, not a curated record. NCBI's taxonomy places the organism in Eukaryota, Metazoa, Arthropoda, Insecta, Coleoptera, Tenebrionidae. The transcript is spliced from 5 exons.
AAAAUUUCUCAGUAUUCCGACAAUUGUUUGUUCACUUAAAAUGAAAGCACUCAUCGUUAACUGUUUUAUAUUUUGCGCAAUAUUGUGUUUCCAAGGAAUAUCGGAUGGGGGUAAUACUAUAGAAUGUUACUAUUGCAUAAAUGACUGCGAACCUCCACUAAAUACACUUAACUGUGAAGCAUUAGAUAACAACGUCAGUUGCUAUUCAUCUAUAUCUACCAACGAAGAUGGUACCACUGAACACUUGAAAGGUUGCUCAAUUGACGAAGAUACAGAUUUUCAAGACUUUUGCAAUACUACGAACGUCGAAGGUGGUUCAUGUUACACUUGCCAAGAGGAUUUAUGUAAUGCAGCUAAUUAAAAGUUGAUUAUUUACAAUAAAGAUUGUUUUUGCGUUCUUUUCUUGAUAUCUCCUUGUCGUCACACCUGUCAAGUCAGUUAACACUUAUCUAGAUCAAAAAACAACAGAUGGGAGUAUAUAAAACACUAUUGUUUGAGCAAAAUUCCAUUCAAUAUGAAGUUCAUUUUGGAAAGUUUAACGCUGCUGCUUUUGUUUACAGUCUACCAUCAAGUUGAUGGUGCUGUAUCUGAGUGCUAUAAAUGUACUGUAAGUUGCGAGUUUCCAACCAUAGAUGAAUGCCCCACUUUUGUUGGUGAAUUUAGGUGCUAUUCAGCAGCAAUUCUUCAACCACCGGAUGGACGACUAGAGUACUCCAAAGGUUGCGUUCUUGCUGAUGACACAAACAUGAUAACGGAAUGUAAUAUAAUUAAUAAUACAGAGGGUGAUUCGUGCUAUUUCUGCGAUACAAAUCUUUGUAAUGACCACGAUUAGUGGGUUCCAUUAUUUUUAAUAUUAAUAUUGCCAAAUAAACAUUUUUUGCAUCA